RNAcentral lists this ribosomal RNA (406 nucleotides) under uncultured bacterium. Its description in RNAcentral is "partial 16S ribosomal RNA". It matches the Rfam family "Bacterial small subunit ribosomal RNA", at positions 30 to 526 of the family's 1533-position model. The record is from RNAcentral.
AUUGAAAGCUGGCGGCAGGCCUAACACAUGUAAGUCGAACGAGUGGCGGACGGGUGAGUAAUGUCUGGGAAACUGCCCGAUGGAGGGGGAUAACUACUGGAAACGGUAGCUAAUACCGCAUACCAUCGGAUGUGCCCAGAUGGGAUUAGCUAGUAGGUGGGGUAACGGCUCACCUAGGCGACGAGCCCUAGCUGGUCUGAGAGGAUGACCAGCCCCACUGGAAAUGAGACACGUUCCAGACUCCUACGGUAGGCAGCAGUGGGGCAUCGUGCACGAUGGGCGCAAGCCUGUUGCAGCCAUGCCGCGUGUAUGAAUAAGGCCUUCUUGGUGCAAAGUACUUUGAGCUAGGCGGCUUUACGACCAGAAGAAGCACCGGCUAACACCGUGCCAGCAGCCGCGGUAAUAC